CAGCAUUGGGCCCUGUGCAAGGAUGACACACAAAUUCGUGAAGUGUUCCAUAUUUUU
RNAcentral lists this small nuclear RNA (57 nucleotides) under Salvator merianae (Argentine black and white tegu). The record is from RNAcentral. Lineage: Eukaryota; Metazoa; Chordata; Lepidosauria; Squamata; Teiidae.